This is a non-coding RNA of Infundibulicybe gibba, 92 nucleotides long. NCBI's taxonomy places the organism in Eukaryota, Fungi, Basidiomycota, Agaricomycetes, Agaricales, Omphalinaceae. The record is from the annotation of a GenBank genome assembly.
GCAUUGAUGGUGUAGCGGUAACAUUGGGUCUUCCCACUUGAGAGUGUGCAAAUGUCAUGGCCUAGCUCCGGGUUCGACUCCCGGUCAAUGCA